Molecule: ribosomal RNA, 253 nt
Filed under: uncultured bacterium
Lineage: Bacteria
Description: partial 16S ribosomal RNA
Rfam family: Bacterial small subunit ribosomal RNA
Source: RNAcentral
UACGGAGGGUGCGAGCGUUGUUCGGAAUCACUGGGCGUAAAGGGCGUGUAGGCGGUCCGCUAAGUCUGAUGUGAAAGCCCGGGGCUCACCCCCGGAAGGGCAGUGGAAACUGGCGGACUCGAGUCCCGGAGAGGAAGGUGGAAUUCCUGGUGUAGCGGUGAAAUGCGUAGAUAUCAGGAGGAAUACCGGUGGCGAAGGCGGCCUGCUGGACGGUGACUGACGCUGAGACGCGAAAGCGUGGGGAGCAAACAGG